RNAcentral lists this ribosomal RNA (433 nucleotides) under uncultured bacterium. Its description in RNAcentral is "partial 16S ribosomal RNA". It matches the Rfam family "Bacterial small subunit ribosomal RNA", at positions 29 to 507 of the family's 1533-position model. The record is from RNAcentral.
AAUGAACGCUGGCGGCAUGCCUAACACAUGCAAGUCGAACGAAACCUUCGGGCUUAGUGGCGCAUGGGGGCGUAACCGGUGGGAUAAUGCCCAUAGGUUUGGCAUAACUCCCCGAAUGGGGUGCUAAUACGGGAUCAUGUCUUCGGACCAAAGAUUUGUCGACAUUGGGUGGGCCCGCGUUGCAUUAGCUAGUUGGUAGGCUAAAAGCGUACCACGAGGAGGAUCGAUAACGGGUUAGAGAGGCAGAGCAGCCACACUGGGAGUGGGCCACGGCCCAGAAUCCUACGGGAGGGAGCAGAGGGUAAUAUUGGACAAUGGGCGAAAUGCUGAACCAGCAAUGCCGCGUGAGUGAUGAAGGCCUUAGGGUUGUAAAGCUCUUUUACCCGUGAUUAUAUUGACAGUACCGGGAGAAUAAGCUCCGGCUAACUCCGUG